UUUAUGAAGAGCCCAAAACAUUUAUUUGGUAUCCAGCAGCUGACCGUCUUAAGUUUUUAAAGAGUAUUUGAAUUGAGAAUUGCAACCUUUACAGACACCAUUCCUCCCAGCAUAAAAGGUAGAUUUGCUAGAUUACACGUGGGUCAAUCUCACUGUAGGGUGCCUUUCGGUGUUCUGUACAUAAAUAACUCAUUUGCCAUGAUAACAUAAAAAUUACUAUGAAAGGGUGUGUUAUAUGAGGCUAAGUUUUUAUAUUCACAACAAAUGCAUUACUUGCCUCUUUAGAUACAUUUUCUAGAUUUUUUUGUUUGUUUUGUUUUGUGUAAGAGGAUGCAUGUUAUUUUGCUAUGCCCCAUGCACUGCUCAUUACAUUUGAAUGAUAGUAGAAUAUUGUCAAAUCAUAAAAGUUAAAAAAAUUGUUCUCCUAUUAAUAUUUUGUUAAAUAAGAGAGUAUACUUACCUUGAGUGCAUUGAUCAUUUGGUAAUAAAAAUUAUAUUUUUAUUUAAUAAAAAAUAAUAGUUUUUCCAUGUCCCUUGAAUGUUUGUCCACCCUGUCCUAUUGGGGAAUCCGCCCCUUUAAGAAAAGGCCAUCCGCUUUAGUGACAUCAGGACAAAAGGUUUUUUCUGUCUCUUCAGUGGCAGAUUUUCUUAUGAGUUUGCUUAUCUGCUUUGCCAAAGCUUAUCAUGGAUGUUAUUGAUGAUGUAAUUAUAUAUAUAUAUUUUUUUUUAGAAGUUGAACAAAUGUUUCAUUGUCAUGCUUUGUGUGUUCUGCUUUAUGUGUCCACCGUGUAAUGUGCUGGUCCAUCCUGUCAUCUUGAUAUUUUACACAAAUAUUUUAAACAAUAAUUCAGUCAUAUAGAUAAUCCAGUGUGUUCAAUAGCUAGGUGUGGGGGCAAUAACAUGCAAACAAAUAACAGCAUCCAAAUAUCUGUUUUCUCCAAAUAAGAAAAAAUACAUGUGCGAAUUGUAUAAGUUUCUUUAAAAACACAUGGUUUACAUAACAUUUUGAAUGAAUUUAUAAUUUGAAAGCAAACAAAUAACCCUGUUUAGGAAAGGGACAUAACUUUCAGAAUGUAUAAUUUGCAUCUUUAUUUUGAAAUGAAAACGUAUUUAACAGUAAUAUACUAUAUAUGUCCAUGACAGGGUGGACAAAUCUUAUGGUUUAUGCUUCAAAUAAUGGCCCUUAAUUAUCUAAAAAAAUGUGUGGGAGCUUAGCUAUUAUGUUUCUAUAGUACUUGAGUGUCUACUAUUUAUAACAUGACAAAGCGAAUGGGAAAUUAAAACCAAAGUGAGGGUUGAAAGGAACUCUAUGGUGAUAUUGACCCACGUAAUAAUGUUAAUUAUGAAAAUAAACAUAUUAUAUUAUGCACAAUAGAGCUUUAGUUGGAAAAUGAGUUAGUAAAAAUGUCUUGAAAAUAUAUGUAGUUUUCAGUGGACUCUGUUCUAUAAAUGUAUCCUUUUAAUUGACACUACAAAGGACAGUUAUUUGUACAAAAAGAAAUCCACCUCGACUUUGUUUGUAAUUUUUUUUAAUACAAUUUGAUUUUCUAAAGUUUAAUCAAGGUGCAUUCAAAGUGCAAUACUAUAGUUUUAAUUACAGUGGCAUGAACUUAAGAGAGUUUUCACAACAGUUCAGUCAUGAGACUGAUCUUAGAUUAGAUACUGCAGUUUUACUGCUCUGCAUUGACGUAUGAGGUUGUGAUCACAGUUAAAGCACACUGAAUGUUUCUGAAAACAGCCUUUAUCUAGAGAGAUAAUCUCAGGAAAUUCUUAUAUAACGCAUGACAUUCCUAGUGUUUGCAUUGGAUUAGUGGAGAUUAUUUAUGACAUUUGGUGUCUUUAGCUGUUACAGCUGUCUACACACAGUGGCAUUGACCUGUGGAUGUACGUCUGGUCAACUGCAUAGGAAAUAAGAGGACAUGGAAAGACCCACAGCAAAGGGCAUGGGAUAGCCAACCUCUCCUUUCCUGCCCACACCAGGCCAAUAGGGGUCACUUGCACCCACAUACAGGAAGCCCAGUUACUUAGCAACAUGGAGAGGAUCCACUGCCAGGUGCUUUGACAUUACAUUCACCGUACAUCAUUGUGGGAAAACUGUGGAAUACAGCGCAAUCUUUCCUUGCCAUAUACAAUCGGGCUCAGAAGUUUGGGCACCCCUUGCAGAAUCUGUGAAAAUGUGAAUAAUUUUCAAAAAAUAAGAGAGAUCAUACUAAAUGCACGUUUUUUAUUUAGUACUGUCCUGAGUAAGAUAUUGUACAUAAAAGAUGUUUACAUUUAGUCCACAAGACAAAAAAAUUGCUGAAAUUAUUAAAAGAACCCCAUUCAAAAGUUUGGGAACCAUUGGUUCUUAAUACUGUGUGUGGUUACCUGAUGAUCCACGACUGUUUUUCUGUUUUGUGAUGGUUGUGCAUGAGUCCCUUGUUUGUU
Molecule: long non-coding RNA, 2427 nt
Organism: Cyprinus carpio carpio
Lineage: Eukaryota; Metazoa; Chordata; Actinopteri; Cypriniformes; Cyprinidae
Source: Ensembl